CCUACGGGUGGCUGCAGUGGGGGAUAUUGCACAAUGGGGGGAACCCUGAUGCAGCGACGCCGCGUGGGUGAAGAAGCGCCUCGGCGCGUAAAGCCCUGUCAGCAGGGGAGAAAAUGACGGUACCUGAAGAAGAAGCCCCGGCUAACUACGUGCAAGCAGCCGCGGUAAUACGUAGGGGGCAAGCGUUAUCCGGAUUUACUGGGUGUAAAGGGGGCGCAGACGGCGAUGCAAGCCAGGAGUGAAAGCCCGGGGCUCAACCCCAUCCAGCCGUUGACACUGGGGAUCUAGAGUGUGCGAGAGGUAUGCGGAAUGCGUGGUGUAGCGGUGAAAUGCAUAGAUAUCACGCAGAACCCCGAUUGCGAAGGCAGCAUACCGGUGCACAACUGACGCUCAGGCACGAAAGCGUGGGUAUCGAACAGGAUUAGAUACCCCGGUAGUC
This 439-nucleotide ribosomal RNA is filed under the name uncultured bacterium. Its description in RNAcentral is "partial 16S ribosomal RNA". It matches the Rfam family "Bacterial small subunit ribosomal RNA", at positions 338 to 795 of the family's 1533-position model. The record is from RNAcentral.